RNAcentral lists this ribosomal RNA (301 nucleotides) under uncultured bacterium. Its description in RNAcentral is "partial 16S ribosomal RNA". It matches the Rfam family "Bacterial small subunit ribosomal RNA", at positions 509 to 809 of the family's 1533-position model. The record is from RNAcentral.
CAGCCGCCGCGGUAAGACAGAGGAUGCAAGCGUUAUCCGGAAUGAUUGGGCGUAAAGCGUCUGUAGGUGGCUUUUCAAGUCCGCCAUCAAAUCCCAGGGCUCAACCCUGGACAGGCGGUGGAAACUACGAAGCUGGAGUAUGGUAGGGGCAGAGGGAAUUUCCGAUGGAGCGGUGAAAUGCGUUGAGAUCAGAAAGAACACCAAUGGUGAAAGCACUCUUCUGGGUCAACAUUGACACUGAGAGAUGAAAGCUAGGGGAGCAAAUGGGAUUAGAUACCCCCGUAGUCCCUGUCUCUUAUAA